This is a long non-coding RNA of Tribolium castaneum (red flour beetle), 501 nucleotides long. RefSeq lists it as uncharacterized. The record is from RefSeq and is a predicted model, not a curated record. The transcript has 2 exons. Lineage: Eukaryota; Metazoa; Arthropoda; Insecta; Coleoptera; Tenebrionidae.
CUGCACAUUUUAGCCCCUGAUUACUGAAUUUAUUUGAAUGGCACAGUUCUUUUCUCAGUAUAAUUGCCCUCACCCGCAAAUAAAUUGAUAAACAUUUUUUCGAUUUUGCAAUCGGUGGUUCCCACUGCCGGACUGGUGGGGUGUUUUAAGCGCAGUAUAUAAACGCUAAAUAAAUCCUCUUUUAAAAUCAUUACUACCUUAAAUUGCCUAACUUACGAGUAAUUCAAUACAAAUAAAAUGAAACUGCAAGUUGUAGUUUUUCUCGUCGUCGUUUUGGUGUCACUGUGUGCGUGUUUGCCCUUUGACGACUCUGAUCCCACAGUGAAUCAUGGAUAUGGAGACGAAGAGUUCCACCCGGCACAAGACCAGCAGUUAUUCCUCUUCAAAAAGUUUAAAUUGUUCAAAUUGGGGAAGAAAUUCCUGGGGUGAAGCAGUCAAAUGUUCUUUUGUGGUUUUGUAUAGUCAUUAGGUUAAGAUUUACAAUAAAUUUUUUAUUCAUAA